CACGCGGUAAUUCCAGCUCCAAUAGCGUAUAUUAAAGUUGUUGCAGUUAAAAAGCUCGUAGUUGAAUUUCGGGGUUCUUCCGUUGGUCAGGCUAACAAGUCUGUACUAGCGUGUAGAAUCUCUACCUUCUGGGGAACCAUCAUGUUAUUAAUUUAGCGUGGUGGGAAACCAGGACCUUUACCUUGAAAAAAUUAGAGUGUUCAAAGCAGGCUUACGUCUGAAUACAUUAGCAUGGAAUAAUAAAAUAGGACGGUGGUCCUGUUUUGUUGGUUUCUGAAUCACCGUAAUGAUUAAUAGGGAUAGUUGGGGGCAUUAGUAUUCAAUUGUCAGAGGUGAAAUUCUUGGAUUUAUUGAAGACUAACUUCUGCGAAAGCAUUUGCCAAGGAUGUUUUCAUUAAUCAAGAACGAAAGUUAGGGGAUCGAAGACGAUCAGAUACCGUCGUAGUCUUAACCAUAAACUAUGCCGACUAGGGAUCGGACGAUGUUAAAUUUUAUUGACUCGUUCGGCGCCUUACG
RNAcentral lists this ribosomal RNA (516 nucleotides) under uncultured Scutellospora. Its description in RNAcentral is "SSU rRNA". It matches the Rfam family "Eukaryotic small subunit ribosomal RNA", at positions 573 to 1092 of the family's 1831-position model. The record is from RNAcentral. Lineage: Eukaryota; Fungi; Glomeromycota; Glomeromycetes; Diversisporales; Gigasporaceae.